CACGUAGGCGGAUACUUAAGUCAGGGGUGAAAUCCCGGGGCUCAACCUCGGAACUGCCUUUGAUACUGGGUAUCUUGAGUCCGGGAGAGGUUGGUGGAACUCCGAGUGUAGAGGUGAAAUUCGUAGAUAUUCGGAAGAACACCAGUGGCGAAGGCGGCCAACUGGCCCGGUACUGACGCUGAGGUGCGAAAGCGUGGGGAGCAAACA
This 207-nucleotide ribosomal RNA is filed under the name uncultured bacterium. RNAcentral describes it as "partial 16S ribosomal RNA". It matches the Rfam family "Bacterial small subunit ribosomal RNA", at positions 568 to 774 of the family's 1533-position model. The record is from RNAcentral.